Molecule: ribosomal RNA, 497 nt
Filed under: uncultured bacterium
Lineage: Bacteria
Description: partial 16S ribosomal RNA
Rfam family: Bacterial small subunit ribosomal RNA
Source: RNAcentral
GAUGAACGCUGGCGGCGUGCCUAAUACAUGCAAGUCGAGCGAACAGACGAGGAGCUUGCUCCUCUGACGUUAGCGGCGGACGGGUGAGUAACACGUGGAUAACCUACCUAUAAGACUGGGAUAACUUCGGGAAACCGGAGCUAAUACCGGAUAAUAUAUUGAACCGCAUGGUUCAAUAGUGAAAGACGGUUUUGCUGCCACUUAUAGAUGGAUCCGCGCCGCAUUAGCUAGUUGGUAAGGUAACGGCUUACCAAGGCAACGAUGCGUAGCCGACCUGAGAGGGUGAUCGGCCACACUGGAACUGAGACACGGUCCAGACUCCUACGGGAGGCAGCAGUAGGGAAUCUUCCGCAAUGGGCGAAAGCCUGACGGAGCAACGCCGCGUGAGUGAUGAAGGUCUUCGGAUCGUAAAACUCUGUUAUUAGGGAAGAACAAAUGUGUAAGUAACUAUGCACGUCUUGACGGUACCUAAUCAGAAAGCCACGGCUAACUACGUG